This 504-nucleotide ribosomal RNA is filed under the name uncultured Glomeraceae. RNAcentral's name for it is "SSU rRNA". It matches the Rfam family "Eukaryotic small subunit ribosomal RNA", at positions 569 to 1078 of the family's 1831-position model. The record is from RNAcentral. Lineage: Eukaryota; Fungi; Glomeromycota; Glomeromycetes; Glomerales; Glomeraceae.
AGCAGCCGCGGUAAUUCCAGCUCCAAUGGCGUAUAUUAAAGUUGCUGCAGUUAAAAAGCUCGUAGUUGAAUUUCGGGACUAAUAUGUCGGUCGUGCCUCGGUACGUACUGGCUUAUUGGUUUCUCCUUUCUGAAGAACCAUGAUGUCAUUUAUUUGGUGUCGUGGGGAAUCAGGACUGUUACUUUGAAAAAUUAGAGUGUUUAAAGCAGGCUCACGCUUGAAUACAUUAGCAUGGAAUAAUGAAAUAGGACGUUUGAUUCUAUUUUGUUGGUUUCUAGGAUCGACGUAAUGAUUAAUAGGGAUAGUUGGGGGCAUUAGUAUUCAAUUGUCAGAGGUGAAAUUCUUGGAUUUAUUGAAGACUAACUACUGCGAAAGCAUUUGCCAAGGAUGUUUUCAUUAAUCAAGAACGAAAGUUAGGGGAUCGAAGACGAUCAGAUACCGUCGUAGUCUUAACCAUAAACUAUGCCGACUAGGGAUCGGAUGAUGUUAAUUUUUAAUGACUCA